AUACGGAGGCUGCAAGCGUUACUCGGAAUCACUGGGCGUAAAGCGCGCGCAGGCGGUCUUUUAAGUUGGAUGUGAAAGCCUACGGCUCAACCGUAGAACUGCAUCCAAAACUAUUAGACUAGAGUGUGGGAGAGGAAGAUGGAAUUAGUUGUGUAGGGGUAAAAUCCGUAGAGAUAACUAGGAAUACCAAAAGCGAAGGCAAUCUUCUGGAACACUACUGACGCUGAGGCGCGAAAGCGUGGGGAGCAAACGGGAUUAGAAACCCUAGUAGUCC
This 274-nucleotide ribosomal RNA is filed under the name uncultured bacterium. RNAcentral's name for it is "partial 16S ribosomal RNA". It matches the Rfam family "Bacterial small subunit ribosomal RNA", at positions 523 to 796 of the family's 1533-position model. The record is from RNAcentral.